Non-coding RNA from Taeniopygia guttata (zebra finch), 220 nucleotides. Lineage: Eukaryota; Metazoa; Chordata; Aves; Passeriformes; Estrildidae. The record is from RefSeq and is a predicted model, not a curated record.
AGAUACUCCUUCACGUUGUCUUUGAUGUAAGAGAACAAGGUCUCCUGGUAGAAAAAGAGGCUGCUCCUUUAACCUGGCAGAGAAUGAAAAUUGCUUCAAGAAUUACCACAAACUUGCCUAGGGAAAUCAAAAGCCUUGUAAUGCCCCCAGUUACUCUCAUGUCCUCUACUUUCAAACUAUCUUUUAAAUCAUGGAGGAAAUUAAAGAGAAUCUACUGGGA